AGGGAUUGCCUCAGUAACGGCGAGUGAAGCGGCAACAGCUCAAAUUUGAAAUCUGGCUCCUUCGGGGUCCGAGUUGUAAUUUGCAGAGGAUGCGUCGGGUACGGGUCCCUACCGAGUUCCCUGGAACGGGACGCCAUAGAGGGUGAGAGCCCCGUCUGGUAGGAUACCCAGCCCAUGUGACGCUCCCUCGACGAGUCGAGUAGUUUGGGAAUGCUGCUCUAACGGGAGGUAUACUCCUUCCAAAGCUAAAUACCGGCUGGAGACCGAUAGCGCACAAGUAGAGUGAUCGAAAGAUGAAAAGCACUUUGAAAAGAGAGUCAAACAGCACGUGAAAUUGUUAAAAGGGAAGCACUCGCUACCAGACUUGGGUUUGGCGGUUCAACCGGGGCCACGCCCCGGGGCAUUCCGCCAGCUCAGGCCAGCAUCAGCUUUCCGUCGGGGGCAAAGACGUCGGGAAUGUGGCUCCCCCUCGGGGGAGUGUUAUAGCCCGGCGUGUCAUACCCUUCGGGGGGCUGAGGUACGCGCUUCUGCAAGGAUGCUGGCGUAAUGGUAGCUAGUGACCCGUCUUGAAACACGGACCAAGGAGUCAACCUUAUGUGCGAGUGCCCGGGCGUAAAACCCCAGCGCGGAAUGAAAGUGAACGUAGGUGAGAGCUUCGGCGCAUCACCGACCGAUCCUGAUGUCCUCGGACGGAUUUGAGUGAGAGCAUAUAGGGUUGGACCCGAAAGAAGAUGAACUAUGCGUGUGUAGGGUGAAGCCAGAGGAAACUCUGGUGGAGGCUCGCAGCGGUUCUGACGUGCAAAUCGAUCGUCAAACAUGCGCAUGGGGGCGAAAG
RNAcentral lists this ribosomal RNA (835 nucleotides) under Plectosphaerella cucumerina. RNAcentral describes it as "partial large subunit ribosomal RNA". It matches the Rfam family "Eukaryotic large subunit ribosomal RNA", at positions 70 to 929 of the family's 3401-position model. The record is from RNAcentral. Lineage: Eukaryota; Fungi; Ascomycota; Sordariomycetes; Glomerellales; Plectosphaerellaceae.